GUUGAACGCUGGCGGCGUGCUUAACACAUGCAAGUCGACCGGGAAACCUUUUAUUGAAGCUUCGGCAGAUUUAGCUGGUUUCUAGUGGCGGACGGGUGAGUAACGCGUGGGUAACCUGCCUUAUACAGGGGGAUAACAGUCAGAAAUGGCUGCUAAUACCGCAUAAGCGCACAGAGCUGCAUGGCCCAGUGUGAAAAACUCCGGUGGUAUAAGAUGGACCCGCGUUGGAUUAGCUGGUUGGUGGGGUAACGGCCCACCAAGGCGACGAUCCAUAGCCGGCCUGAGAGGGUGAACGGCCACAUUGGGACUGAGACACGGCCCAGACUCCUACGGGAGGCAGCAGUGGGGAAUAUUGCACAAUGGGGGAAACCCUGAUGCAGCGACGCCGCGUGAAGGAAGAAGUAUCUCGGUAUGUAAACUUCUAUCAGCAGGGAAGAUAAUGACGGUACCUGACGAAGAAGCCCCGGCUAACUACGUG
This 478-nucleotide ribosomal RNA is filed under the name uncultured bacterium. Its description in RNAcentral is "partial 16S ribosomal RNA". It matches the Rfam family "Bacterial small subunit ribosomal RNA", at positions 28 to 507 of the family's 1533-position model. The record is from RNAcentral.